Gasterosteus aculeatus aculeatus (three-spined stickleback) is the source of this 1544-nucleotide long non-coding RNA. The record is from Ensembl. Lineage: Eukaryota; Metazoa; Chordata; Actinopteri; Perciformes; Gasterosteidae.
UUUAACUUAAAAAAUGACACGAAAAAGGUACAACAUUGGAAUUGGCUGCUUUCUAUGGAGUUAAGCAUCCAGCAUCUAUCAUAGAGUGAAUAGUGAACGAGGGAACAAGGAAGUGAUUCUGGACACAGUCCUGGCUUUAUAUACCUCGGCAGCAGGACGCAUCAAAGGCCAACUUGUGAAAUGAAACUAGAGCAUCUUUUACUGCAUUUUGUUUUGUUCAGAUCAGAAGCCGGACAAAAGGAUACCAUGCUUUAUGGUCCUUUUGACUCUAAUAUCAUUUAUUAUGGAACAUUUUGCUGUGUUGAAGAAGGCCGGAAAAUAGAAUAAAGCCCUGUUGAUUGACUUCCACUAACUGUUACUUAGUUGAACCAGUUAAACCAUAACGUUAAACGUUAUUGAUGGAUGUUGAAUGCAGGAUUUCUUGAGAUUCAUGACUUUUGAUUCACAUAGUUCUGAAGUACGUGAAUUCAACAUCUCCUUUGUUCGGUGCAGUACUUAACAAAGGAGAUGUUUGAACCUGAGAGCCAACCUAUUAUAUACCCAUUAUAUACCCAUACCUUUCCUGCUGUCAAAACCUUGUGUCUUUGUUCCCUGUCAAUUGCAGAACUAUGGAUCAUCUUUCAUCUUUCCAUUAAAGUGGCAAUCAUAAUAGGGGCUUUAGCAGCUGCCUGACUUUUCUAAAUACCACUGGUGUCAGUAAUGCACAGCAUUUCCAUUUUUUAUAUCCUGUUCAAUCAACAAAAAAGAUAAAAAUAUAUGAUGGGAUUCUUUGAAGCAUCAUCAAUGUAAUCAUCUGACUCAGUACCAUUCUGCAUCCUAAACUACUAAAUCUUUUGCCUUGUUUCAUCUAGCCCCACUAGAUCUUAUUGAGCCACGGCCAACAUGUGGAAGAAUAUCUGUUGAGCAAAGUUAAAGACAACGUAAAAGAGGACAAGUCAUUCAAGGUGGGUUUAGAUUCAAACAAUGAAGAUUGUGUGCUUAUUGUCUCCAGAUAAAGAAAUACGAUUUUCAGUUACCCUCGAGAGCACAAGUAGGUUUCGGCGUGAGUCACUGCUGACUGGGUUCACCAAAGAUACUUAUCCCUUUUCCUUAUCCUUAGUUAUCCGUUUUACAUUAGAUGAUGUUUUUCUUUCACUUUACUUAAAGCAAACAAUGAACACUUACAGUGUCUUAUGAUUAGAUUAAAAUGCAUACAAAUGCAUUAUGUAUUAUUAUGAAAAAAGAGGUAUUACAACUUUCGCAUUGUUGCAGAAAAAUAAAUAAAGCCAUAAAGUAUUUUUUAAUGUUUUUUUUAUUUAUUAGUGUAGCAACUACACUAAUAACAAUAAUACAUAUAUUUAUAACGAACUCUUCACCAACAGAUCUCAGAGUGCGACAGAUGGCCAUGCACUACACUGUAUUACUGCAAUAAUAAAAAGCACUAUAAAGAAUGGCAAUACCCAGUCAUGUGAUCAUGGUCAUGAUCACCACCGCCCUUCUGCUGACAAAUAUUAUUUUGGAAACAAGGUGCUUCUCAGGUCCCGUCUUACAGGUAGGUCCACUGC